This 774-nucleotide ribosomal RNA is filed under the name uncultured Neocallimastigales. RNAcentral's name for it is "partial large subunit ribosomal RNA". It matches the Rfam family "Eukaryotic large subunit ribosomal RNA", at positions 22 to 635 of the family's 3401-position model. The record is from RNAcentral. Lineage: Eukaryota; Fungi; Neocallimastigomycota; Neocallimastigomycetes; Neocallimastigales.
GUACACGCUGUGACUAGCAUAUCAAUAAGCGGAGGAAAAGAAACUAACAAGGAUUCCCCUAGUAACGGCGAGUGAAGCGGGAAGAGCUCAAAUUUGAAAUCUUAAAGGGUUUCCCUUUACGAAUUGUAGUUUAAAGAAGUGUUUUCUGUUGAGGUUUUGGUAAAAGUCCUUUGGAAUAGGACAUCAUAGAGGGUGAGAAUCCCGUAUUUGACCUUUACUUUCAACUUUGUGAUACACUUUCAAAGAGUCGGAUUGUUUGGGAAUGCAGUCCAAAAUGGGUGGUAAAUUUCAUCUAAAGCUAAAUAUUGGCGAGAGACCGAUAGCGAACAAGUACCGUGAGGGAAAGAUGAAAAGAAUUUUGAAAAGAGAGUUAAACAGUACGUGAAAUUGUCAAAAGGGAAGCGUUUGACACCAGUGUUGUUUUUCUGAAAAUCAAUUAAAGAACUGUUUAUGCUAAGCUGUUUAGACUUUAUCAGCUAUCUGUUUAGUUUUGAGCUUUUCUUUAAUGCACUUUUCAGUUAACAAGUCAACAUCAAUUUCUUUUGCUGUAAAAAAGCUUGAGGAAGGUGGCUUGAGAUUCGUCUUAAGUGUUUAUAGCCUCUUGCCUAUGCAGUCGGAGAGAUUGAGGUCUGCAGCGUAGAUCCUUCGGGGCUAAAUGCAUUUGUGCUAAGUUAUAGCAUUUUAUAGACAACUUGUUGACUAUGAUUUGUCUUGUAGCUUACUCGCUUAUGUUAUUUUACCUACGCUUAGGAUGUUGAAGAUGUAGCACAUCAU